CGAGAACUAACGAGAAAAUGCCAUGGGAUUGGAGGUCUCGUUUCGGUCCGAGACGAAUCGAAAAAAUCCGCUGUUCUUCGGGCCGAUAACCCCGCGAUUGGACGUGGAACGCCCCGUAUACGCUAUGAAAGUUACGCACGCGUUUGCUUCGUUCGCUUCGAACGGUUUUCGGGGGAAUUAAAUACGUACCAGCUACGCCUCAUUACGUAUCGUACUAACAUUGUACACGGUUAAUGUAAUAACAUGCGUGGACAGACCAAGAGGUUUACAUGCAUGCAUACA
This is a non-coding RNA of Cinara cedri, 282 nucleotides long. NCBI's taxonomy places the organism in Eukaryota, Metazoa, Arthropoda, Insecta, Hemiptera, Aphididae. The record is from the annotation of a GenBank genome assembly.